Molecule: long non-coding RNA, 1646 nt
Organism: Salvelinus namaycush (lake trout)
Lineage: Eukaryota; Metazoa; Chordata; Actinopteri; Salmoniformes; Salmonidae
Exons: 4
Source: RefSeq, a predicted model, not a curated record
AAUGAGAACUUGUUCUCAACUAGCCUAUCUGGUUAAAUAAAGGUGAAAUAAAAAAUAAAAAAACAUGCCUGCAGUGGAGCUGGAAUGUCCUCCACCCAAUGCCAUCUGCAGUGUGUGUAGAGUUUUGGAGGAGGCUGAGCUUUGGCGCUGUGGGGAUUGUGGCUCAGAUAAAUAUUCCUGUGCCACCUGUACUGUGAGAACACACAGCACUCCCAACAUUGUACACCAGUUGGAGUUAUGGAAGUCAGGGCAGUUCGUCCCAUGUGUCCCGGUGGGCCUACAAUGGGAGUGGAAGAGACAAGGUGACCAUGACUGUCAAAGCCAGUACAACCGUCUUUUGACAGUUGUUGACGUUAGAGGACGAGCUCAUGACGUCUGGCUAAGGCUGUGAGCUGGAACCUGUCACCCUGAUCUGCCACAGACUCUACCUUUCCACCCCCCGAGAGACUGUCAGGAAGUUGGUGCCACUGACCUCGGACAGAACAAAGUGUCCUCUCUGUCCACAGGGGUGGGUGGGGAUGCGCUGUGAUCCAAACCCAAAACCCAGAAACUGGACAUAACUGGUGUGUUUAGGAUGGCGUGCAGGCACGAGCAUCCGCUGAAGUUCCUGAACCUGAAGAGAGGAGAGAAGUAUGUUGAUUGAUGCAUGUGGGUGGGUGGAUGGAUGGAUGCUUCAGAUGUGUAGCUGGUGUAGUUUAGUUAUAUAUAACAUUGGCUACAAUGACUGAUGUUGAACAGUCAUUUCCGGCUUGCAAAUGCACUAUUUUAAGGCUUGUGUAAAUGUCCUGCUUAAUAUAAUGUUUGUGUCAUCAUCACAUAUCAACUCCCUUAUAGUUAAAAAACAUUUCAACUUCAAAAUGUCUCUUUUGGCUAGCUUUUGCUACAGCCUAUGUCAAUGAGCGUUAGCAUUCUAGCUAACAAAUGCUGCAUCCAAAAUAGUUAUUUUUCAAAGAUCACAACCAAAUACAAUCUUAGUGACUGUUCAAGCAAGAAUCAAAACAUUGUAAAUGUAUGAGAAUCCCAAAAAAUUAUUUUGUUUCGAAGUAAUACAAAGUUAAAUCUAGGCUAUGUUGAAUGGGCGCAGAUGGCAAUGGCUUUCUUACUGCAGCCAAGAGUCACACGCAUUUGUGCGUGAUGCCAGUGUGUCCGGUACUGGAAAGGGGUCUAUACUGGAUGUACAGAAUACAUCCAGCAUCCAGAUCAGAGUUACAGUCCCAUACGGAACCAUUCCAUGUACACACAGCACCGCACUCACAUGGUUGAUGACUGAGCUCCUUUCGUUUUAUCUGCUGUUCUUUGUGCAAUAAUUAUGAAUGCUAUCAUAUGUAGCUUGUUAGCUGGUGUGCCAAAGGCUAUAGAUGUCAGUUACCUUGUUUUUUUGUGGGAAAGCCAAAGUUGAUUUCAAAGACAUCUAAAAAGUACCCUUUUGCCGUGAUAUUGUGUAUCUUAAUGCUAUGACCCGGUGUCGAACCAGGGAUGCUGCAGCCACAACGCAGAGUACUAACUACUAUACGAUCACAGCGAGCUACCGGGGCUUGAACGUCAGGGGGAAAUAAUGGGCUUGAAUUUUGCAAGUGAAAUCCAUGGGAAAUCAUUUUGACAUUGCAAAAAUGUGCAUUUUACAUUAAAUUCAAGAAGUGAAAUCA